UACGGAGGGUGCAAGCGUUAUCCGGAUUUACUGGGUUUAAAGGGUGCGUAGGCGGGUUUGUAAGUCAGUGGUGAAAUACUUUCGCUUAACGAAGGAACUGCCAUUGAUACUACCAGUCUUGAAUACAGUGGAGGUAGGCGGAAUGCGUCAUGUAGCGGUGAAAUGCUUAGAUAUGACGCAGAACACCAAUUGCGAAGGCAGCUUGCUAAACUGUUAUUGACACUGAGGCACGAAAGCGUGGGGAUCAAACAGG
This 253-nucleotide ribosomal RNA is filed under the name uncultured bacterium. Its description in RNAcentral is "partial 16S ribosomal RNA". It matches the Rfam family "Bacterial small subunit ribosomal RNA", at positions 524 to 776 of the family's 1533-position model. The record is from RNAcentral.